This 467-nucleotide ribosomal RNA is filed under the name uncultured bacterium. RNAcentral describes it as "bacterial SSU rRNA". It matches the Rfam family "Bacterial small subunit ribosomal RNA", at positions 28 to 507 of the family's 1533-position model. The record is from RNAcentral.
GACGAACGCUGGCGGCGUGCUUAACACAUGCAAGUCGAACGAUGAAGCUGGAGCUUGCUCCGGUGGAUUAGUGGCGAACGGGUGAGUAACACGUGAGCAAUCUGCCCUUCACUCUGGGAUAACUGCGGGAAACUGUAGCUAAUACCGGAUAUGACUCCUGGGGGCAUCCCUGGGAGUGGAAAGAAUUUCGGUGAAGGAUGAGCUCGCGGCCUAUCAGCUAGUUGGUGAGGUAAUGGCUCACCAAGGCGACGACGGGUAGCCGGCCUGAGAGGGUGACCGGCCACACUGGAAUUGAGACACGGUCCAGACUCCUACGGGAGGCAGCAGUGGGGAAUAUUGCACAAUGGGCGAAAGCCUGAUGCAGCAACGCCGCGUGAGGGAUGAAGGCCUUCGGGUUGUAAACCUCUUUUAGCAGGGAAGAAGGGUAACUGACGGUACCUGCAGAAAAAGCACCGGCUAACUACGUG